AGGGAAGCGAGAUCGAGAGAUGGAGCAAAUCCCAAAAAUAACGUCCCAGUUCGGACUGUAGUCUGCAACCCGACUACACGAAGCUGGAAUCGCUAGUAAUCGCGGAUCAGAAUGCCGCGGUGAAUACGUUCCCGGGUCUUGUACACACCGCCCGUCACACCAUGGGAGUCAGUAACGCCCGAAGUCAGUGACCUAACCGAAAGGGGGGAGCUGCCGAAGGCGGGACGGAUGACUGGGGUGAAGUCGUAACAAGGUAAC
This 258-nucleotide ribosomal RNA is filed under the name uncultured bacterium. RNAcentral describes it as "partial 16S ribosomal RNA". It matches the Rfam family "Bacterial small subunit ribosomal RNA", at positions 1243 to 1500 of the family's 1533-position model. The record is from RNAcentral.